UUUUUUCCAAUCUUCCCUCACAGGUCAUGUUUUCUAGACUUUUAAUCAUUUUUGUUGCUCUUCUCUGGACUUUCUCCAAUGUGUCCACAGCUUUCCUGAAAUGUGGACCCAGAACUGGACAUAAUAUGCCAGUUGAGGCCUAAGCAGCGCAAAGUAGAGCAGGAGAAUUAUUUCUCAUGUCUUGCUUAUAAUUCUCUUCAUCCCAAAA
Chelonia mydas (Green sea turtle) is the source of this 208-nucleotide long non-coding RNA. RefSeq lists it as uncharacterized. The transcript is spliced from 3 exons. The record is from RefSeq and is a predicted model, not a curated record. Lineage: Eukaryota; Metazoa; Chordata; Testudines; Cheloniidae.